AGAGUUUGAUCCUGGCUCAGAACGAACGCUGGCGGCGUGCCUAACACAUGCAAGUCGAACGGAGUCAUCCGUGUAGCAAUACAUGGAUGACUUGGUGGCGCACGGGUGAGUAACACGUGGGUAACCUACCCUCAGGAGGGGGACAACUCCGGGAAACCGGAGCUAAUACCGCGUAAGACCACGGGCUGAAAUGCCUGAGGUAAAAGUGGUAACACGCCUGAGGAUGGGCCCGCGUCCUAUCAGGUAGUUGGUAGGGUAACGGCCUACCAAGCCUAAGACGGGUAGCCGGUCUGAGAGGAUGAACGGCCACACUGGAACUGAGACACGGUCCAGACUCCUACGGGAGGCAGCAGUGAGGAAUUUUGCGCAAUGGGCGAAAGCCUGACGCAGCGACGCCGCGUGGAGGACGAAGGCCUUCGGGUUGUAAACUCCUUUUCCCAGGGAAGACUUCGACGGUACCUGGGGAAUAAGCCACGGCUAACUCUGUGCCAGCAGCCGCGGUAAGACAGAGGUGGCAAGCGUCGUUCGGAAUCACUGGGCUUAAAGGGCGCGUAGGCGGUGCGGUAAGUCCGGGGUGGAAUCCUAUGGCUCAACCAUGGAAUUGCCUUGGAAACUGCUGCACUUGAGUCAGUGAGGGGAGGGCGGAAUUCCUGGUGUAGCAGUGAAAUGCGUAGAUAUCAGGAGGAAGGCCUGUGGCGAAGGCGGCCCUCUGGCGCUUGACUGACGCCGAGGCGCGAAAGCGUGGGUAGCAAACAGGAUUAGAUACCCUGGUAGUCCACGCCCUAAACGGUGGGCAUUAGGUGUAGGGCUCGCAAGGGUUCUGUGCCGUAGGGAAACCAUUAAAUGCCCCGCCUGGGGAGUACGGCCGCAAGGUUAAAACUCAAAGGAAUUGACGG
Molecule: ribosomal RNA, 896 nt
Filed under: uncultured delta proteobacterium
Lineage: Bacteria; Deltaproteobacteria
Description: bacterial SSU rRNA
Rfam family: Bacterial small subunit ribosomal RNA
Source: RNAcentral